CGCUUGUUUGUCUUAAAUUAAUUGACUUUUAUAGCGCAGAUUGAAUUGCUAGAGACGCAAAAAUUAUAUUUUAAAAAUUCCUAAUAAUCGCAUUAUAAAUAAUCGAUACAUUUUACUUAGAGUGUAAUUGCAAAAACAAUGCGUGCGUCAAACUGAACUUUUGCUGCGCCAGAAAGGCAGAUGGUUUUCUUUAUAUAUUAAAUCGUGAGGCCAUGUGGUGUAAUUUGAUAGUACAGUACUUGUCAAUUUAGCAUAAUUUUGCGCACUUUUCUAAGUUCCGGAUCCGUGAGCCUUUAAUAAUUUUAUUUGUCAUUUACUUAUACAACAAUUAAAAAAAUCCUACCUGUUUACAAAACUUUUGUGUUACACACUUAAUUAAUAGGUGUCUUCUUACUAAUUCAAUAACUGUUACACAAUAAAGAUUUUUGCUGUCAAUUGCACUAGAAUUAGCGUUUUAAUAAUAGCACAUAAUAGUUUCGUGAGAAAAUUUAUUUAUCUUAUACCAUAAACUUCUGAUUAUGAUUACGGGCUAGUAUAUCGAAUGGUGUGAACGUUUGUAAUGUGACGGGGUCAUAGACGUCGGGCUUAUAUUCGGGGACUUAUAAUCGGAAGUAUAUGGUAUAAGAUAAAUAAAUUUUUUCACGAAACUAUUCUCCUAGUUUAAAAAUUAAAAGGAUGUAGCCUACUAUUAUUAAAAUGCUAAUUCUAGCUAGUGCAAUUGACAGCAAAAAUCUCUAUUGUGUAACAGUUAUGGAAUUAAUAAGAAGACACCUAUUACGGUAAUUAAGUAUGUAACACAAAAGCUUGUAAACGGUAGGAUAUUUUGUAAACAGUUGUAUAAGUAAAUGACAAAUAAAGUUAUAAAAGGCUCACGGAUCCGGAAAGAAAAGUGCUCAAAAUUAUGCUAAAUUGAC
Non-coding RNA from Paramuricea clavata, 914 nucleotides. Lineage: Eukaryota; Metazoa; Cnidaria; Anthozoa; Malacalcyonacea; Plexauridae. The record is from the annotation of a GenBank genome assembly.